GGCGAGCGGUUGUUGUUGCAAGUUGCAAUGCUUCUAAGUUUCCAUUGCAUCACUCAUCAAAUUACACCUUUACACACCCUCACUUCCUUCCCUCACCACCACCGCCUCUCCACUCUCUCCCUCCCCUCCAAACCCUACCCGAGAUUCCCCCUUCCACUUCUCGCCUCUUCCUCCGCAUCUGUAUCCCGCAUCUCAGAAGAGGAAAUAUUAAUCGAUUACCACUUUUAUGGAGACAACGGAGAGGAGAAUUUCGGUUUCAAUAGCUCGUUUGAGUUGGCUGAGGUGAAGCGGUUUCAGUCUCCGGUGGUUGAGGUAAAGGAGCUGGAGGAGCUGCCGGACCAGUGGCGGAGGUCGCGAUUGGCGUGGCUGUGCAAAGAGCUUCCGGCGCAUAGGACUCCUACAUUUAUUCGGGUUCUCAAUGCUCAGCGGAAGUGGAUUAGGCAGGAUGAUUGCACUUAUAUUGCUGUCCAUUGUAUGCGUAUUCGUGAAAACGAGUCGGCAUUCAGGGUGUAUAAAUGGAUGGUGCAGCAACAUUGGUUUCAAUUUGAUUUCGCCCUUGUAACCAAAUUAGCUGAUUACAUGGGAAAGGAGCGAAAAUACUUGAAAUGCCGUGAACUAUAUAAUGAUAUAGUUAACCAGGGUCUAGUUCCUAAUGAAUCCACAUUUCAUAUCCUGAUUGUUGCCUACCUUAGUUCAUCUGGUCCAAGUUGUCUGGAGGAAGCAUGUAGCAUUUACAAUCAAAUGAUUCACUUGGGAAAUUACAAGCCCCGACUUAGCUUGCACAACUCUCUGUUUAGGGCUCUUGUGAGCAAAACUGGUGGCUCUUUUAAACAUCAUCUUAAACAAGCAGAGUUUAUCUAUCAAAAUCUGACAACAUGUGGAUUAAAAGCACAUAAUGAUAUUUAUGGUGGACUUAUCUGGCUCCAUAGUUAUCAAGACAUAAUAGAUAAAGAAAGAAUUGUAUCAUUAAGAAAGGAUAUGAAAUCAGCUGGUAUUGAAGAGAGUACAGAAGUUCUCGUGUCAGUGUUGAGAGCUUGUGCUAAGGAUGGAGAUCUUGCAGAAGCUGAAAGUAUUUGGACAAAGCUUCUUUCUUCCAAUAGUAAACCUCCACCUCAAGCUUUUGUGUAUCUAAUGGAGGUCUAUUCAAGGGCAGGGAAGCCAAUGGGAUCCCUUGAAACAUUCAGGGUUAUGCAAGAACAGUGUUCACCAAAUGUUGUGUCAUACUACAAAAUCAUUGAGGUAUUGUGCAAAGCUAAAGAGACGGAGCUAGCAGAGUCUCUUAUGGAUGAGUUCAUAAAUAGUGGCAUGAAGUCCUUGACACGGUCUUUUAUAGAUAUGAUGACUAUGUACACCAAUUUAAGCUUGCACGAUAAAGUGGAAUCCACUUUCUUCCGGUGCCUGGAAGAAUGUCAUCCCAAUCAGACAGUGUAUUAUCUGUACUUGGAUUCUUUGGUGCAAACCGGCAAUCUUGAUAAGGCAGAACUGAUCUUCAGCCAAAUGCAUGCUGAUGAGGCAAUUGGUGUGGAUGUCAAAUCAUGCAACAACAUCUUGAGGGGCUAUCUAACUUAUGAGCAGCAUGCUAAGGCAAGAAAGAUAUAUGAUUUGAUGUGUCAAAAGAAAUAUAAAAUUGAAUCUUCCUUGUUAGAGAAGCUAGAUCAUGUCCUGAGUUUGAGCGUGAAGGAAGCCAGAAAAUCAUCAAUCUUGAAGCUUAGCCAAGAGCAGAGAGAAAUCCUGAUAGGUCUACUAUUGGGCGGUUUAAGGGUUAAAUUAGAUGAUGAAAAAAGGAGUUACGCAAUUGAUUUUGUAUUUAGGGAGGGCAACAAGAUCCAUUCCUUUCUGAAAAGACAUAUACACAACCAAUUUCAUGAAUGGCUAGCUCGUAAAGUGCAGGUUGAUGACAACAAUGGUGAUAUUCCAUGUCAGUUUACAACCAUACCCCACUCUUGUUUUCAGUUGUAUGCCGACCAGUUCUGGCCUCAAGGCCUACCUGUGAUUCCUAAGCUAAUCAACCGGUGGCUAACACCUCGUGUUCUUGCAUAUUGGUAUAUGUAUGGGGGUUACAGGACUUCAUCUGGAGACAUUUUGUUGAAGCUGAAGUUCAAUAAAGAGGAUGUUACGCGGAUUGCCAAAACAAUCAAGGCAAAAUCAUUGAAUUGCCGUGUCAAAAGAAGAGGGAGAGUUUUCUGGAUGGGUUUUCUUGGAACUGAUGCCACUGAGUUUUGGAAACUAACUGAACCUUUUGUGCUAGCAGAUCUGAGAGAUUCUCUUGAAGCGAAUCAUGAGUCUCUAGAUGGGAGGUCCGGGCUCGAAAACGUAGCUUUUAGUAGCGAUUCAGAUGCUGAUGAUGGUAACACUUCUGAUCAAAGCGACGAUUAAGGUAGCGUGGGACCUAAUAUAUUCGAAUGGUAUGAAGCAGAGCCGUUGAAUAUGCGGCGAAUGGAUUCCAAUCCCAUUGGCUGCCACAUGUCUCCACGGCCGCCAGAGAAGAACUGUGUUAUCGCUGUCUUAUAUUUUGUCUCGAUCUUCUUCCAGAAAAUAAAAGCGGUAAGGUUUUAUGGAAGCCAUUGUGGGAUUGGAGAUUUCACAAGUAUGCCCCUCAAUGAGAGAAAACACCAUGAAGACAAAACUUAGAGAGAGAAGAUAAAAGAGGUGUGGAGAAUGAGGUUGAGGUUGGGCAGCUCACGUGAAUAGAAAGAAGGAAAUACAGGAGUAUGUAUUUGUAUGAGAUGGUUUCAUGUCGUCUUCUAAACAGCCCAUUCAUUAGGGAAUCUAUGUAGUAGUAUAUAUUUCACUUAAACAAUUGAAUACAACUCAUUGAUGAAUGGAAUAACUAACAGCCUCGAAUCUUAUUAGGGCUAUUUACGGAAGGUUCUUCCUAAAGCAAAUGUGAUACUCCUACUUAUUUUUUUUACUUUUUAUCCAAAAUAUUAGUACAGUAUUAU
This is an RNA transcript of Salvia hispanica, 2942 nucleotides long. It is a transcript of the gene named endonuclease, with no coding region annotated. The record is from RefSeq and is a predicted model, not a curated record. Lineage: Eukaryota; Viridiplantae; Streptophyta; Magnoliopsida; Lamiales; Lamiaceae.